UAACACAAAACUAGAGAUUAAUUUAUUCCUGGAUAGAAAAAAGUAGUGUUCAUAAUCAUUAAUUAGGUGGGUCACCUAGGACAUUUUACCAACACGACAAGUAACGAAAGAAGAGGGAAGGAAGUACAAAUGCAGACACUACCACGUACUUCAUGAAUAUCUAUAAUUGGCUUGUGGUUCUUAAGAAACAAUGCAAACACCAUAACACUAUAUAGGAUGCAUUAGUUGUAUCAUUCUCUCGUCAAUGGCAUGGCAUUUCCGGGGAGAACGUGACGUCAAACAAAUGGAUUGGGAAUAGUUUAGUUAUAUAUAUAACGGGCACAGUGAACUCAGUCUCCUGCAAAAGGAGAAGCACUCGCAUCUGAUGGCCGCUGCAUGAGUGGGACCGAUAGAAGCGGUCCACGCACACUCUGCAUCUGCUUCUGUUCCAGUUCCAGCAGUUGCGGGAGAGGUUGCAGCGUUGUGCAAUUGGUCGAAGCUUCAGUUGACUCUCAUGCAUGCGUCUCUUGGCGGCGUGGCGGACCUUGUCCAACUCCACAGAUGUCUGCAGUGGGGCUAAAAACCAGCCUAGCUAGCCACCAACUCAUUGCAAGAAGGAAUCACGGGUCUUUAAAGAACAAAGAACAAAACAUGAAAAAGCACCGUGCAAUGUCGUAAAACUAACCAUCUCAACAUUCUGUGCAAAAGUGCUGGGCUCACACUAGGAAAAACAAAUAAAAAAACAGAAAGAUGAUGAUCAAAGAUGUUUUGAAGGCUCCAGCUAUUACUCUAACACCCCAGGUAUCACGCAACCCUAGGAUGCUACACAACUACACUACAAAGUGCCAAAAUAGAAAAUUUCGACAGCAGAUACCUUGAAACGAGCAUAACACGGAAGCAACAAUAGAUAGACAAAAUAUGAAGCGUGAAUCUCCAACAUAACAACUGCAUAUCUUAGCAAACAUGAAUAAGGAUACCUUAAUAUCUCACAAACUUAGAAGAAUACAUCAUAGCAUUAUAUGAGAUCCCGUGGAAGUGUAUGAUGUGCAACUAAUCCAUUCCCUUUAUGGUAGCUUCAAAGGACAACCUGGGGAGGAAAAACAAGGAUGAGAUUGAAAAAUCUCAGCAAGCGAACUACUUUAACAAGCUAUUUAAACCAUAAUAGAUUAACCAAUCAUUUGAUAAAGUAAUAAGUAUUAGAAAUACAACUCCACCAAUCUACUUGAUAUACCAAGAAUUAGUCGAUUAAGGCAAGACAACAAAUAUUAGUUUGUACAAGCUACCAUAAGAAAUAAUAUAAGAUCCAUGUAGAAUUAUAGUUAGCAGCCCGCAAAAACUCAUAUCAUAUAGGUCUCCCUAACAACUAGAAAUAAAGGAAGCAUAAGUGCAGAACAUAUACCGUAACAAUAAUGGAAUAUCAUUGGCAAUGUAAUUGAAGUUCCUUGGAAUGCAAGACAACAACACACAUAAUAUCUCCAUAAUCACACAAGCUAUAUCACACACACAGGACCACCAAGAGGAACCCCUUAUCAUAUUUGCUUCAAUGUAACUAUGUCAAUUCAAUAUCCAAAUAUAGGUAAAACAAAGAAUGUGAAUGCAAAAGCACACAUAUCGUGUAUCUAAAAUCCCAUAUGACAUACCAUAGUGCAUGUCAACAUAAGGGCAUAAUUUAUCAUUGUAUAUCACAUUGUAACUUCAUCACAUCCAACAUUCAAACCAUCUAGAAAUGAAUAUCAAUGCACAUGAAACUCCUGCCUUCAUACGUAUGAAGCUGCAUCGUUAUACCAAUUAGACGAUGCUAUAUGCAUAUGCACAUGAACUGCUGCCUUCAUACGCAAUAAGGUAUGAAAGCUGCAUCGUUAUACCCAAUAAACGAUGUUGUACCAGUACGAUUGCAACCAUAGGUUUGCGACAUAACUCCAAAUACCAUGCAAUGCAAUGAAAUGCAAUGCAAUGUGAUGCAAUGCCACAAGAUAAAUGCCAUCUCCAAAAUCCAAAUACCACAUACUCCAUGUUGAACAGAGAACAAGCCAUGAUAACAAAUAUAAAGAGAUACAUAAAUUGGUUUCUUUGACAUAAGUAGUAUCAACCAUGAUUGAAUGACAGUUUCAUAUAUGCCAAGUAUUAACAAAAUAGUUAUUCAUACCAUGCUACCUAUAGGCUCCCCCUUAAUCUAAGCAUAUAUAUGAUAUCACUUAACCAUUAACGAUUUAAAUACGGAGCAAGGCACCCAUUUCAUAAUCUAAGUCGAAGGCAUAUAUGUCACAUUAAAAAGGAGCUUUUGAGAUAGAGCUACUCAACCCAAAAUUCCAUCCUUAUGUUUGAACACAUACGUCAAAACUGGUAGGAAACUACUUCUGACCUUACUCAUAACCUAAACAUGUUAGCACUAGGAGACAUGAAGUAGUGUAAAUGCCACACCAAGAUCAACAUACCCCUACAACAGGUCCAUCAACUAUCAAACCACUAAGAAUUCCAUAGACUUCAGUAUGGUAGGAAAAAAUAUAUCAGAAGAUAAAUCACCAAGUAUAUGCCAUAUAUAAAAUAUACUUUCAGCCUCAACCAUAUUUUUCAUAACCCCUCAUCCACUGAAUUAAUCCAUUCAUCCAUUCACCCAUGUUAAAGAAAAAAAAACUAUAUACCCACUAUAUAGCUAUAUUAGAAUAACAUAUUCAUACUCUUCGCAUACUUGUAAACAUCAUGUAUAAUAUUUCAGAUUACCACAUAUAAAUAUGUGCACUGCAUUUUAGAAGUGGAGGUAGUAAAAAUAACAUCUUAAAGUUGUAGCAAUGCAACAGCUACGUUCACUUGCCUUUACCAACCAUGUAGACUUACACGCCACGUAGCAACCCCACCUGCUAAACCACUUAUGUAUAUCAGUGCAACAACCUCAAAUGGCAUUCUCAUAUAGAAACAUAAAGUGUUCAUAUGUCCAAAACUUCAAUAUGAAUGAGAAUAGACAAGCUACAUUCCUUGUCACCGUCAUCAUGAAGAGCAAAAAUGCUUAUCUUUUAUGCAUCAAUUUUUAUACAGUAGAUUAGGUACCAAAUAAAUAUAUAUGGAAACUUAAGAGAAUAAGAUACAACUUUGGUAGCAAAACUAUAAUUUUAUCAGGCCUCUAAGGUCACCUUAAACACCACUCAAAAAGCACUUCUGAAUCUGCCUAACAGCCCCAACACCAACAUAUAAAAAAAUAAUAUCUCCUAAAAUAUGCAACCAAAAUUAUAAAAUUUUGGUGAUAGGAAGAAAUUUUAUCCCUCUACAAAAGUCUCCAUAGUUGGAAGAGCCAAUUAGACCAUUUACAAGGUGAAAAACACCAAUGAACAGACUUGACUCGAUCUGCCAGGCAAACACGAACAGUCCAAUUGAUUCAGCCAUAUCUCGAGUUCUACUCCACCAAAAAUUGCAAUUAUAUACAAUUUCAAAAACUUACUAAAUCCUCCACAACUUACUAAUAUAUCUCAAGAAUUAAUUCCGCACCUAACAUAUCCAAAACUCGUACCCUAGACAAACCGUUGAUUCUACUAGGAAAUCGCAACUAGAAAAUGAAGUUAAACUCCAAUCCAACCUCUAAUCCUUUAAUCCCUCACGGUCAAAAUCUCCAAAAACACUUAAUUAACAGGGGAUAAAGAUGGAUCCCACUUUUACCUAAGGCUUCCCUAUGAAAAUCCGCAAGGGGAGGUUGGGGAAAAAACCGAUCUAGCAUCUCCGCGAUCCUCUCUUCCUGUUCAAUCCAUCUUGCUCCUUCUCUUCUCGGUCCUUGCUGCAAUGGAGGAGGAGAUCUAAAGGGGAAAGGGAGCAGUGGUGAGAGGAGGAGGCGUGCUGGGGAAAGGGGUCGUGAGGAGGGGGAAUGGGCGGCACCGGAGUCAGCCAGAAGGAGGUGGAGGUAAGGGUUACGUGCCCUCCUCUAUUUUCCUUGAUU
RNAcentral lists this long non-coding RNA (3901 nucleotides) under Setaria italica (foxtail millet). RNAcentral's name for it is "long non-coding RNA (SITA_LNC002565)". The record is from RNAcentral. Lineage: Eukaryota; Viridiplantae; Streptophyta; Magnoliopsida; Poales; Poaceae.